RNAcentral lists this ribosomal RNA (1235 nucleotides) under metagenome. Its description in RNAcentral is "bacterial LSU rRNA". It matches the Rfam family "Bacterial large subunit ribosomal RNA", at positions 1564 to 2808 of the family's 2925-position model. The record is from RNAcentral.
UGAAUACGAGACGCUAAGGCGUCGAAGUAGUGUAUGUCAUACUUCCAAGAAAAGCUUGCACUGUCAUAGAUAAAAAACGCCUGUACCAUAACCGACACAGGUGGGUAGGUAGAGUAUACUAAGUGGCGCGAGAUAACUCUCUCUAAGGAACUCGGCAAAAUAACUCCGUAACUUCGGGAGAAGGAGUGCCUUAUUUUUAAGGCUGCAAUAACAAGAUCCAAGCAACUGUUUAUCAAAAACACAGGUCUCCGCUAAGUCGUAAGACGAUGUAUGGGGGCUGACGCCUGCCCAGUGCCAGAAGGUUAAAGAAGUUGGUUAGCUUUUGCGAAGCUGAUAACUGAAGCCCUGGUGAACGGCGGCCGUAACUAUAACGGUCCUAAGGUAGCGAAAUUCCUUGUCGGGUAAGUUCCGACCCGCACGAAAGGCGCAAUGAUUUGGAUACUGUCUCGGAGAGGGGCUCGGUGAAAUAGACUUGUCUGUGAAGAUGCGGACUACCUGCACCAGGACAGAAAGACCCUAUGAAGCUUUACUGUAACUUGAAAUUGAAAUUGGACUUUAUUCGCGCAGCAUAGGUGGGAGGCGUUGAUUAUAAUCUCGUGGGAUUAUUGGAGCCAUCAGUGAGAUACCACUCUUGUAAUGUUAGAUUUCUAACUUUGAAUCAUUAUCUGGUCAAAGAACAGUUUCAGGCGGGCAGUUUGACUGGGGCGGUCGCCUCCUAAACGGUAACGGAGGCGUACAAAGGUUUCCUCUGAACGGUUAGAAAUCGUAUCUAGAGUGUAAAGGCAUAAGGAAGCUUGACUGUGAGACCUACAAGUCGAGCAGGGACGAAAGUCGGUCUUAGUGAUCUGACGGUACUGAGUGGAAAGGCCGUCACUCAACGGAUAAAAGUUACUCUAAGGAUAACAGGCUGAUCUCCCCCAAGAGUUCACAUCGACGGGGAGGUUUGGCACCUCGAUGUCGGCUCAUCGCAUCCUGGGGCGGUAGUACGUCCCAAGGGUUGGGCUGUUCACCCAUGAAAGCGGUACGCGAGCUGGGUUCAGAACGUCGUGAGACAGUUCGGUCCAUAUCCGGUGUAGGCGUUAGAAUAUUGAGAGGAGCCUUCUUUAGUACGAGAGGACCGAGAAGGACAUACCUCUGGUGUACCAGUUAUCGUGCCAACGGUAAACGCUGGGUAGCUAUGUAUGGAGUGGAUAACCGCUGAAAGCAUCUAAGUGGGAAGCCCACUUCAAGAUAAG